This is a non-coding RNA of Scylla paramamosain (green mud crab), 73 nucleotides long. The record is from the annotation of a RefSeq genome assembly. Lineage: Eukaryota; Metazoa; Arthropoda; Malacostraca; Decapoda; Portunidae.
GGCCUGUUGGUCUAGGGGUAUGAUUCUCGCUUCGGGUGCGAGAUGGUCCCGGGUUCAAAUCCCGGACAGGCCC